UGCAUCUCGCAUUAAUGUUGCUCUAAGUGGUUCUGGCACCGGAUUAGAUUCUUCAGAUUCCACAUCGUCUGGCCGUGGUAUAUCUCGCUUGUGAGGGGAAACGGGAGUAAGGGAAAGAAGGUAGGACACUGUUUUCAGUGUCCCUCUAACCUACUUUUUCCUCUCGUCCUCUUAAAGAAUUGCACCCAUCCACAAUGAGGCCUCUGUUUGAACAGCGGGAUCAUCUACACUCACAUCAGUAAAGAGCCUCUCAGAGAAAAUCGACGACAAAAAUAAUACAUGUUCUUUCAGUUAGUCCUUUUCUGAUCUCUCGUUGAUUUGUUUUAAAAGCUUUUUUUGUUUGUUUGGGGGUUUUUUUUGCUCAUAUUCUCAAGCAUUACUGUCACUGACUACGUUUACAUGGACAGCAGUAAUCUAAUUAUUGACCUUAUUCUGAAUAAGACAAUAUUGUGAUUAAAUUGUUUACAUGAGCUGCUUUUAGAAUACUCCUUUCAUGUUCCCGUUUUACAUGUUAUAGAACAUAGAGCGAUUAACGGCACACGUCAUUACGUCCCCGCGCCACACCGUCCGACGUUCUCUCCAGAAUUUCACGUAUCGACAUAUAGUUGAUACGUGACCAUCUUCGUUAUGGUACCGUAUACAGUUUUGGGUGUUUCAUUAUUAAUUUUAUGAAAGCUUCAAGUGUAGUUAAUUAUUUGUCGUGCUGUACGUGCAAAUAGACGACUGCUUGAAGCCGUGGGCUGCGUCCCAAACCGCGUACUUACCUACUAUAAAUUAGCUGAAAUACAUGUAUUUCGCCAACUAUAUAGGAAGUAAGUGCGCGGUUUGGGAUGCAGCCCUGCUCUCUUGUUUACUGUUAUAUGGUUGAGCACUGCCGUGUUGCCGUGUUAAGGUGUGUGCAUGUCUGUAACGCACCUCGAUAAUGCGACUAAAACAGGAAUACUCCACAUUUCUUAAUUCCAUUUGUGUUUACUUCGUGUAUGCGUUAAUCAGAUUAAACUCCCCUAUAAUCGCUGUUUACAUGCUAGUUUCUUAAUCAGAAUAUCGUCUUAAUCGGUUAAUAUCGGAUUAUUGUCGUCUGUGUAAACGUACUGAGUGUGAAUGACGGUUGUGGGUCUAUUUGCUUCACACCAACAUUACCACCAUUAGGUGCCUCUGAGAAUAUUAGAAUUUUGGCUACUGUGCACUGUGUAACCCACCUAAACACUUCAGUAUAAGUAGACCACUGCCAAAUAUUGUGUUUACUUAAACAUUGCUUCACACUUUAGCUCAGUUGCGUUGCCUGUGCACGACAUGCGAUUCUAAAGUCGUUCCAUAUGCUGUUCUGCGUGCACUACACAUUUACGUCUCUCCAAGGCUGGAAGCUGGUUUUAAUCAGGCAGUUCUCAGGGCAGCUUCAUAUGCUGUAGGUUUAGCUAAUGAAGUGUUCGGUGACAUUCUCCUUUGACAUCGAGCUCAGACCAGUUCUGUAGUUUAGUAUAAUGAUAUUACAAAUGGUUUGCUUUGAGUGGAGGAAACUUGUUCUUGAUCAUGGCAGACACACCAUUUCUGCCAGUCUGUACUGAGAGAAAGUAAAGGAAAUCUCUUAAGCUUUGAAUAAGUCAGUCUAUUGCUAUUAGCAUAAUGCUCACAGGAAUAUAUUUUCUCCACAGUUUUGUUAUUGGCCAAACCAACCAGCUCUUCCAUGUCACACAACAACUAACCGGGUAAACACAUCUUUGCUCCGAGUCACGUAAAAGAAGCUGGCCGACCACAUCUUUCAAACUGCUGCUCACAGGGCAGAGUGACACACUCCAGGGAAAGCAGUAUCCACCCUCUUACUCAUACAUGAACUCACAGACACCCGGGAUUGGCUAGUGUCGCUGUGCUGUACAAGGAAGAGAGUGUAUGCCACCUCUCCCACCUGGAGAGCAUAGCCAACUUUGUUCCACUGUCAGGAUUUUAUCUCGCCGUCUCCCAAUAAUAGAUGUAAAUGUCCACCAAUUGAACUAUUGAAUCCCAACUGAGUUGUGAAAUUCUGGGUUGAGUUUUUAAUGAAGCCCUAAAAGAAUUGUUGAUGUGUUUAUUAACUGAAAUGCAAAUUCUAAAUUCAGUUAUAGGUUGUCUUGAUGUCACAUGACUUGAGCCAUGUAUGUCUGAGAAACAAAUCAGAAAGCUCUUUUUAAAACUACAGAAAUACAGAUACACACAGCAAAAUCCCCAGUGUUGAUUUAACACCCAGAGUGUUGAAUGCACACCCUACAGUGUUUAUAUAAGUCCACUGGACACAAAUGAACACUCUGGGUGUUAACUCAACACUAUGGAUUUUACUGUGCAGCCAUGGCCAAAACUAGCAAUGAGGACACUGAGGUCCAGACCUCGGUGGUUCCAGAACCCGCAUCGCUUAUCUCCGUCGUGAUAACGUAGUGCCAGAAUGUAGUCUGCUAUGCGGAAAAACAUGCAAGCUACAAUGGCUACAAAACCAGCAGUGAUGAUUAGCUCUAAACUGACUCCUUAAUCAUCCAUUAUAUUUAGAGGACAAGCAAGAGGACAACCCUACGCACUGGAGCUAAUAACAGGAUAACGCUAAACCAAAAUAUUAAUCAAAUAAAAUUCAACUGUCUAACUUUAACUCUUUUGAAUGUAUGAAUGAAUAAAGUAGGUUUGAAUGUAUGUAUGAAUAAGGUAGGUUUGAAUGUAUGUAUGAAUAAGGUAGGUUUGAAUGGCAUAGAUUCAGUUUCGCCACCAUUUGUUUUUGUUUUUUAGCACAACCUCAGCUUUUAGACAUUUAGACAUUUCUGUUAUCUACAGUUCAGCAAAUUUCACAGGUCCUGUGUCCUGAGUAGACUCAUAGGUAGCUUCAUAUCCUGUAUAUUCCAGAGAAUAAACAUUGAUACUUCCUAAAGUAACAGGCACACAAAGAUAUCUCAUUUUGUGUCAUUUUCUCUGAUUAUUUCUACAUGCAAUCACCUCAGAGUUAUUUACGGGAAUAUGACAUGACGUCAUCGGGAUGGUGUCGAUUCCAGUGGUGAGGUUUAUGGAAGAUGGAAGUAUAACAUAACAGAGAUCAGAAACUGAUGUAUUCGGUACAUUGUGGUAUAUUAACCGGGAUGCAGACCGCACUAAAAUAUCGAUCCUGGUUAUGGCUUUGGAUAAAACUACUAUAGUUGGUACCUGCGAUUAUAUUAUUGCUAUAUUAAUAUGAUUAUACUGCUACAUUUAGCUAAUCCUGGCAUGAGAUGUGCACAUAAUUGUGAUCAGUGUGACAAUUUACCAACUGCCGAUGAUCCUAAAUCUAUACAUUUAACACUCUUUUAAUGUAUAUUUCAGUAUAAAUCAGUUUUAAAGAUGAUAAUUGAAUGUAGUUUAACAUUAAGUAUAUUUUAAAAUGAAACAAAAAAAUGAUAUAUGUAGAUAUUAAAGUUCUCCAUUUUUAUUGCCAUUACCACACUAUUGUUUGUUUACACAAGAAAGGAAACAAAUAGGUUUUUGUACGUUUUUAAACCGCUUCUGCUAACAAUUUGUGAAAAUCUGUGAAUUUGUGAGUCACUUGUCACUCACAUCACGGGCAAAAUGAUGAUUUUUAUGGGUUUUAAAAGGCAGAAAGGGAGUUUGCAUUCCUUGCUUGGGAAUUACAAGAGGUGGGGGAUAGUGAAGGUGGGAUAAAGUGGAAUACUGUGUGUGUGUGUGUGUGUGUGUGUGUGUGUGUGUGUGUGUGUGUGUGUGUGUGUGCAAACUGACGGACUCAGUGGCCUGAAGCCUGAUACUGGCCCCCCAUUCGCAGCUGCUCCUUCACGCCCACCCUUUCACCGCCCCCCCACCCCCCCACCCGCCUUCCUCCCUCUGCGUCUUUCUGCCUGUCUGUCUCUCGCACUUUUCCUUUAGGAUCAACUGACUUAAGACCCAGAACAUGGGCAGGGAAUGGACUAGGACUUGAGAAACAGAAGACAUAAGAAGAGGAAGCAGAGAGAGUGAGAGAAAGAGAGCGAGAGAGCUGGAGAGAGAGAGCGAGAGAAUUAGAGAAAGAAGACAAGUUGGUAGAAUGAAUGGAGAGAGCUGGAGGAGGCUGAUGUGGGAGUUUGAUAAAGUGUGUGUAUCCUGAAGUGUGUAGGUGUUUAUUUUGUGUGUGCGCUCUGAUGUCUGCCUGUGCGUGGGGGUGUGUUUGUGUGUUUGUGCGGGUGCGUGUGUGUUUGUGUGUGUGUGUGUGUGUGUGUGUGUGUUUGUGUGUGUGUGUGUGCGUUUCCCAUUGCCCAAGGCUGGUCCUGCCAAUUCAGCAGUGAUGAGUGAGGCUAAAUUAUUUAGCUAUACUGUGCUGGACUGUCUCCAGUGAAAUGCCUUGACUGGUCCCCUGUGUGUGUGUGUGUGUGUGUGUGUGUGUGUGUGUGUGUGUGUAAACACUUGAACGCAUACAGCGUACCACACGCUCUGGAUGGAUCUCGCUCUUUUAAAAGACUGAACAAAAACCAAUGCCUUUAAACAAAUCCUAUUUGAAUAUUAAUUAAAGGUAUACUCCAGUGUUUUUCAAACUCUUUUUUUUUUUUUUUUUAAAUCACGUCUGACUGGUACAGACCGUUAACACCGACUAACACAAUAGGUUCAAUACAUUUUUCCUGGUAAAUAGGAAAGGAUAAAAGUUCUCCACGAGUGCCCCAACAACUGCCCAUAGUCUGUCAUUAUAAAUAACGUUUAAGCCAGCAGGAUUUCUGUUCUUUUCUCCGUAAAAGGACAUGUCUGUCGAAAUUGUAGUAUAAUUUGCCCAAAGAUAGAUAUUAGGUUGCAAAACAGUGGAUUAUUCCUUUAAUGCUUUGAAGCAAAUUGUAUACCAUGCCUCAGAUUUGACAGCAUUAGUAUCUGUGUAAUCAUUUCUGAAUGGAAAUGGAUUGAAGAUGCUGAUCAGUGCAGUGCAGCAAACACACAAAGCGGUAGAAACCCGUUAAACAAACAAUAUCUGGAACUUAAAGGAAUACUCCAGCGUUUUCCAAACUAAUUUUCAUACGUCACAUGGACACGGUAAACGGGCGGUUACCACACAAUCGAUUCACUCGAUAUUUCCCGUGUAAACAGGAAAGUUCUCGACGACUGCCGUUACAUUCAAGCAAACUUUCAAGAACUUUUUUUUUCAAGGUUUUCUGCUCUUUUCCAGACACUGGUCGACAUUCUCGUCUGUAUUAUUUAUCCCCACAGGAUGAAGUAGACUGGAUUAUUCCUUUAAUGCCGGAGUGAUGUGCACUGGUAGAACCCUGGACUUUUCUCCCAUUUCUUUAAAGAAAUCCACCUCUAUUUAUAGGAUAAGCAGCUUUCCCCCCUCGACAGCUUGACACGCCGUGACGUCUCUGUUUUUGCCUUUUUGUAGAAAAUGUGUGUGUGUGCGCGUGUGUGUGUGUGUGUGUGUGUGUGUGCGGGUUCACAGCUGCACGGCAAAUGCCUCACAGCUGGAGGGAUGGUGUGCGAGGCUAUAAUCCAUGAUCAUGCCCGAGCACACAUACGCACGCAUGAAUGCAUGCUCAUGCACCCCCACACUCUUGGUAACCAUACAUGCUGUGUGUGUGUGUGUGAGUGUGUGUGUGUGUGUGUUUGUUUGUGUGCGUGUUCUCUCAGCGACAUGCUUCAGUCACAAGCAUCUGUAGCUGAAUCUCAUUUCCUUGAUAUUAUUCGCACCGUCGCAUACGCCGAGAGCACACAGCCUACAGUCGCAUUAGGAUGCAUCCCUGCAAGAUUUGCAUAAAUUAACCCUCAUUUGAAAUUGAUCCAGAAUGUUAAAGCUUCGAAAAUAGAUCCCAAUCUUUCUAUCUACAAUGUUAAUGGCUGUAGCGUAUGCAAUGUUCGAUCUCUGUGAGGAUGUGACUGUACACAACUAUACGGUGGAAUUUUGCAUUACAACGUUAUAAAUACUGUGGAUUGACAUUUGUUUAUUCUCAGAAUAUGGAGACAGAUUUUUUUAAGAAGCUCCACAUGACAAUCAUUGUACAACUAAAGUUCAAUGAGGGGUGUAUAUAUAUAUAUAUAUAUAUAUAUAUAUACAUGCACAUCGAAUUCUGUUAAAGGUCUAUAUUCGGGUUGCAGCCAUAUUCCGAAUAUGAUGUUUACAUGUGUACAGGCAUCGGAAUGUUCAUGUAUACAUGGUUGGUGUACAACCCCAAUUCCAAAAAAUUUGGGACACUGGGUGAAAUGUAAAUAAAAACAGAACGCAAUGAUUUGCAAGUCCCAUAAACCCAUAUGUUAUUCACAAUAGAACAGAGUAAAUGUACUGAGUAAAUGUACCAUUUUAAGAAACAAACAAGGUCACUUUCAUGACCGCAACAGGUCUCAAAAAAGUUGGGACGGGGCCAACAAAAGGCUGGAGAAGUAAGUGUUACUAAAAAGAAACAGCUGGGGGAACAUUUUGAAACUAGUUAGGUUAAUUGGCAGCAGGUCAGUAAGAUGAUUGCGUAUAAAAAGUAUCUUAGAGAGGCAGAGUCUCUCGGAAGUAAAGAUGGGAUGGAAUCUGGAUAGAAGCAGAUGUUGCUCUAAAACCUGUAUGUACCUUUCAGCAUUGAUGGUGCCUUUCCAGAUGUGCAAGCUGCCCAUUCCAUAGGCACUAAUGCACCCCAUACCAUCAGAGAUGCAGGCUUUUGAACUGAGCACUGAUGAAAAGCUGGAUGGUCCCUCUCCUUGUCCAUGGUUUCCAAAAAGAAUUUCAAAUUUUGAGUCGUCUGACCACAGAACAGUUUUCCACUUUGCCUCAGUCCAUUUUAAAUGAGCUUUGGCCCAGAGAAGACGGCGGCGUUUCUGAAUAUUGUUCACAUAUGGCUUCUUCUUUGCAUGAUAGAGCAUCAACCAGCAUUUAUAGAUGGCACAGAGAACUGUGUUCACAGAUGACUCCCUCAGUUGUCCUCAGUGUGAAAAGGUGAACCUUAACAUCAUACAGCCGCUGUUGGAAAGGGGUCAAAUACGCAGAAGCUGGAAAAGUAAAGAAUGUGCAGGACCUGGAGGAUUUUUCUGAAGAACAGCGGGCAGUUUAAUUGCUCAGGACAAACAAGGGACUCAUGAAGAACUCUCACAAAACAGAAAAACAUCAUGUCAUUGAUCAUCCAGGUAACGACACACAGUAUUAAUAAUCAAGCGUGUGUAAACUUCUGAACUGGUUCAAUUGUGUAAAUUCAGUUAUUAUUGUGUUUUGUGGACUUUAUGUAAAUAUAUGUUAUGUGAAAUAGUUUAUUCAGGGCAGAGCUAAUAAAACACAAAAUUCUAUUUUCAUGAUGUCUUCUUCUUAAUUUUUUUAUUAUUAACAUUUUGCAGAUUCUGCAAGGCGUAUGUAAACUUAUGACCUCAACUGUAUGUGUAUCUAUAUCCAUGUUUCUAGCUGAAAUAUACAUAGCAAUGGUACAAAACAUGUAGCGAAUCUGACCACUCUGUCCAAGUACAUAUGACAGGGAACCAUGUGACUGUGUAGUAUACUAAAUGUUCAUUCGUAAAUACUGAAUAGUACUAUGAGAAUUAUAUACUGAUUCAGUAUACAAUUAUUUCAAACACAUUUCGUACACAGCACACGCUCGGCUCAUGUCUCAGGUGUUGCUGGUUGAACACGGCUGGUAUUGUGAAAGGUCCCUACAGUGAACAUUAGCUCUAAAGACAGGGUGGCCUUCACAAGUGCCUGACUAUAAUAGCUCAGCCACCACACAUAUACAUGCACACAACUGAUAAUGCUGCGUUGCUAUGGGAGACCAGUCUCGAAGGUUUGUUGGAUUGAGGGGAGAUGCUUCCCGAGAUCUUUUCUCAGUGUCUGUCUGUUUUCAAUGAGAAUAAUCUGCCUCUAAAGCAGUGUGACACUUAUAGAGUACACAUUAGGAUCUAUACGCAGUAGAAUCUGAUCCGAGAUGAACAUCCUUACACGCGUUAUCGAUACAGCUUCUUGCGUAACUGUUACGAGCGAGAACGAAAUGAAUCAAAAUGAGCUCCGUGUGAAUUUCAAGUAGAGAUGGGCGAUGUAAAACGAUAUGGAUACUGCGAUAAAUACAAACUAAUCAUACAAACUCGUAAGUCAUAUGAAGGUUAGGGGAGGGGUUUGUUUCCCACCUUUUCCUGUGACUCCUUUUACAGUUUGGAAUCAAACAACAACCAACCCUCAUUCGUUUGAAUGCAUUAAUCUGGUCAGUAUAUCAUCAGUAUUUAUACAACAUCGAUUAAUUACAUUAUUACAGUAGCAGCUGAUUGGAUGUUGAAAUGCAUUUUCGCUUUAGCAAUUGUUUCAUUUUUACUCCUGUUCCUGAUUAGACGGUAUAUUUUUAUACUAUUUUUAAACAAAGAAAGCAAUGCACUUAUGAUUUUUUUUGAAGAUAAUUUUUACACUACUGUUUUGCCGGCCCAUUGCAGAAUAAUUAAAUAUUGUGAUCAAUAUUGUACAUCGUGAUUUUUUUUUAGAUUUACAUUGCCGACGCUUACUUCCGUCGGUUUAAAUCGGCAAGAAAGGCUGCGUCGGGUUUGAGAGAGUACGACGGAUUCACUAUGUCAAUAACACACGAGUGGCAACAAAGCAAGGUGACGUUUUUUUGUCACGCUUGCUGUAUGCCCAGAUCCUGAAAGGGUAUUGUGACAAUCAAGAGGUGCUUUCACACCAUAUCCACAACACAUACACAGGCGUUUACACAACUAACACACACCCUGUCUCUGAUUCAUGGGGGAGGAGUCAUUAGUGUCUUUCCAGAAGCUUCUGUGGACCAAUAAACAGUAGCAGUCAAGCAAGACGGAUCUGAAUUCAUCACUGUCUCUCUCUCUCUCUCUCUCUCUCUCUCUCUCUCUCUCUCUCUCUCUCUCCCUCCUUCCCUCCCUUUCUAUCUCUCUCUUUCUGUCUGUCUCUCUGUCUCACACUCCCCCACCCCCAUGCUUCAUUUUCUCUGUCUCUGUAGUUGUGAGCAGCUCCCUGAUGAGUCACCUACUCCUCUGUCAUCUGAACACGACCACUGCUGCAGAGAGAGAGAGAGAGAGAGAGAGAGAGAGAGAGAGAGAGAGAGAGCAAGUGGGAGAAUGACAGAAAGCAAGAGAGUGGGAAGAGAGAAAAGAGAAAGAGAGGUAGCAUCUUUUUUCUCUGUCACCUCUACAGUGUCCUCACACAACAGCCCCCCCUCUCUACGCACACACACAUGCCACCCAAACUCUACAAACAUCACCAUCAAAUUUCAAGAUGCGCAUUUCCAUUUUUUCCAUUCACCUCUCUCUCUCUCUCGCUCUCUCUCUCUCCCUCUCUCUCUCUCUCUCUCUCUCUCCCUCUCUCUCUCUUUCUGUCUGUCUCUCUCACGCAUGCUCUUUCAGAAUCAAAUUUCUAAGAUCCUGCGCGGAUCAAAUUCGUUUUGUCGCUUUGUGCAUAAAGGAACGGAAGGGAGCACAGCAGAGUCAUCUAAAAUAUCGGUGAAACGGAAAGCAGGCUCCUCCAGCAGAGCGGCUAAAUUAUGGAAAUAGAUAAAUAAAUAAUCAUAAAGCUCUCUGUAUCAUUUCCACACAACUGUGACUAAUCAGUGGUGUGGGUGUGUAUAUGUGUGUUCAGAAGAGUCUUGGAAGAGGAGCUGGUGAGAGGUACAUGUAUUGCAGUGGCAACAUAUAUAUAUAUAUAUAUACACACAAUUCAAUAUACACUUCAAAUCAAAUUCACAUACAACCGUACACAGUAUGACGUGCAGUGAAAGGAUUUUUUCUUCUGUCCUUG
This is a long non-coding RNA of Ictalurus punctatus (channel catfish), 9658 nucleotides long. The record is from Ensembl. NCBI's taxonomy places the organism in Eukaryota, Metazoa, Chordata, Actinopteri, Siluriformes, Ictaluridae.